RNAcentral lists this long non-coding RNA (1143 nucleotides) under Homo sapiens (human). Its description in RNAcentral is "PREDICTED lncRNA (TCONS_00229070)". The record is from RNAcentral. Lineage: Eukaryota; Metazoa; Chordata; Mammalia; Primates; Hominidae.
UGGCUUGUCCUCUUCUGGGUGGGGGCUCUGAAUGGACCCCAGGACCAUGGACCCCAGGGACCCCCCUGCCACACUGGACAAGGUGUCAGUGACCACUCCAGGUAGAACAGCAAUGGUAUCUCCACAUAGGAAACACCAAGCCUUUGUGACCACAUGAGCCGCAGCGUCUUCAUCAUGGAUGAGGAGGGGAACCAGUUCUGGAAUUCUGGCUCAGGGAAGGCAUAAAUGUUGGCUGACUGUCAAAUGCUUGUGGGAGGUCCCCACGGAGUGGAGAAGCGGGAGACUCAGCUUAAUCACAGACAAAGUUGUGCAUGAGAGACGGAGUCUCACUCUGUUGCCCAGGCUGGAGUUCAAUGGUGCAAUGAUCUCGGCUCACUGCAACCUCCGCCUCUUGGGUGCAAGUAACUCUCCUGCCUCAGCCUCCCGAGUAGCUGGGAUUACAGGUCCCUUCAGAGCCGUGAAGGCGGGCAUCCUGUGACACAGCUGACACAGCAUGGAGCCUUCAUCUCCUAUGUGCGUUUCUUAGGUCACUCUGAGGGGUGGGGCCACAAGCUACCACCUACAGAAUUGAUACCUUUAGUUCAAAGCCAUUGACCAACCCAGGUUCAUGAAUUUUCAGGCAGAAGGUACCAAGACAACCCCAUUAGGCAACUAGGAAGACAGGCCAGGAAAGGCCUACGAUGUCGUCAUUACAGCUGCCACCGUCAGAGGGUUCAUUAUGUGCUCAGAGGUGCACAGGGCCUCACUGGCUGCUGGACAGAACAGGGGCUGCUCCCAGGACCAGGCAGGGUGGGGCUGGAAACCAACCCAAGGCUCUCAAAGCUCCAGGGCUGAGCCAUGGCAUCUCUGUGCCCUGUUCCCCACCACCCAACACCGAGCAGUUCCUCAAAUGGCUGAAAGCUCAGAAAAUCAGUUUUAAAACAAACUAUUGGAGGAUGUUUUCUUAUACCACUAGACAUUUUUUUUGUUUAACAAUCGCAAUAGAUUAAAUUUAAAAAAAUAUUUAGGAGAACAUAGUUCCAGAAUACAGGGAAAAAUAAGAACCUAUGGGAAAACAAGUUGAUUUCUGAAAAGUUUCAAAACUAUGAAAUGACCAACCUGUUAGAAUUGGUCAAGUAGUUCUUUAAUUUGCAACUAUGUGGC